RNAcentral lists this ribosomal RNA (331 nucleotides) under uncultured bacterium. Its description in RNAcentral is "SSU rRNA". It matches the Rfam family "Bacterial small subunit ribosomal RNA", at positions 26 to 376 of the family's 1533-position model. The record is from RNAcentral.
AGGAUGAACGCUGGCGGCGUGCCUAAUACAUGCAAGUCGAGCGGUAAGGCCCCUUCGGGGGUACACGAGCGGCGGACGGCUGAGUAACACGUAGGAACGUACCCCAAACUGAGGGAUAAGCACCAGAAAUGGUGUCUAAUACCGCAUGUGGUCUUCGGAUUAAAGCUUCGGCGGUUUGGGAACGGCCUGCGCAUGAUUAGCUUGUUGGUGAGGUAAAAGCUUACCAAGGCGACGAUCAUUAGCUGGUCUGAGAGGAUGAUCAGCCAGACUGGGACUGAGAACGGCCCAGACUCCUACGGGAGGCAGCAGUAGGGAAUUUUCCACAAUGGGC